GACGAACGCUGGCGGCGUGCUUAACACAUGCAAGUCGAACGGAAAGGCCCUGCUUUUGUGGGGUUCUCGAGUGGCGAACGGGUGAGUAACACGUGAGUAACCUGCCCUUGACUUUGGGAUAACUUCAGGAAACUGGGGCUAAUACCGGAUAGGAUCUCCUGCUGCAUGGUGUGGGUUGGAAAGUUUCGGCGGUUGGGGAUGGACUCGCGGCUUAUCAGCUUGUUGGUGGGGUAGUGGCUUACCAAGGCUUUGACGGGUAGCCGGCCUGGGAGGGUGACCGGGGACAAUGGGACUGAGAUACGGACCAGAAGGGAACGGGAGGCAGCAGUGGGGAAUAGUGCAAAAUGGGAGGAAGCAUGAGGCAGAAACGCAGGGUGCGGGAUGAAGGCCUACGGGUUGUAAAAAGAAUUAGAAUGAGAAGAAGAGUGAGUGACGGUAAUGGGUAAAGAAGCACCGGCUAACUACGUG
Molecule: ribosomal RNA, 468 nt
Filed under: uncultured bacterium
Lineage: Bacteria
Description: partial 16S ribosomal RNA
Rfam family: Bacterial small subunit ribosomal RNA
Source: RNAcentral